This 301-nucleotide ribosomal RNA is filed under the name uncultured bacterium. RNAcentral describes it as "partial 16S ribosomal RNA". It matches the Rfam family "Bacterial small subunit ribosomal RNA", at positions 509 to 807 of the family's 1533-position model. The record is from RNAcentral.
CAGCCGCCGCGGGAAAACGUAGGGUGCAAGCGUUAAUCGGAAUUACUGGGCGUAAAGCGUGCGCAGGCGGUUCUAUAAGACAGAUGUGAAAUCCCCGGGCUCAACCUGGGAACUGCAUUUGUGACUGUAGAGCUGGAGUGCGGCAGAGGGGGAUGGAAUUCCGCGUGUAGCAGUGAAAUGCGUAGAUAUGCGGAGGAACACCGAUGGCGAAGGCAAUCCCCUGGGCCUGCACUGACGCUCAUGCACGAAAGCGUGGGGAGCAAACAGGAUUAGAUACCCGUGUAGUCCCUGUCUCUUAUAC